Molecule: ribosomal RNA, 501 nt
Filed under: uncultured Acidovorax sp.
Lineage: Bacteria; Pseudomonadati; Pseudomonadota; Betaproteobacteria; Burkholderiales; Comamonadaceae
Description: partial 16S ribosomal RNA
Source: RNAcentral
CACGUAGUUAGCCGGUGCUUAUUCUUACGGUACCGUCAUGACCCUCCUGUAUUAGAAGAAGGCUUUUCGUUCCGUACAAAAGCAGUUUACAACCCGAAGGCCUUCAUCCUGCACGCGGCAUGGCUGGAUCAGGCUUGCGCCCAUUGUCCAAAAUUCCCCACUGCUGCCUCCCGUAGGAGUCUGGGCCGUGUCUCAGUCCCAGUGUGGCUGAUCAUCCUCUCAGACCAGCUACAGAUCGUCGGCUUGGUAAGCUUUUAUCCCACCAACUACCUAAUCUGCCAUCGGCCGCUCCGUCCGCGCAAGGCCUUGCGGUCCCCUGCUUUCAUCCGUAGAUCGUAUGCGGUAUUAGCAAAGCUUUCGCCUCGUUAUCCCCCACGAUCGGGCACGUUCCGAUGUAUUACUCACCCGUUCGCCACUCGUCGGCACCCGAAGGCCCGUUACCGUUCGACUUGCAUGUGUAAGGCAUGCCGCCAGCGUUCAAUCUGAGCCAGGAUCAAACUC